This 500-nucleotide ribosomal RNA is filed under the name uncultured bacterium. Its description in RNAcentral is "partial 16S ribosomal RNA". It matches the Rfam family "Bacterial small subunit ribosomal RNA", at positions 30 to 523 of the family's 1533-position model. The record is from RNAcentral.
AUUGAACGCUGGCGGCAUGCUUUACACAUGCAAGUCGAACGGCAGCACGGGAGCAAUCCUGGUGGCGAGUGGCGAACGGGUGAGUAAAGUAUCGGAACGUGCCCAGUCGUGGGGGAUAACGUAGCGAAAGUUACGCUAAUACCGCAUACGAUCUAUGGAUGAAAGCGGGGGAUCGCAAGACCUCGCGCGAUUGGAGCGGCCGAUAUCAGAUUAGGUAGUUGGUGGGGUAAAGGCUCACCAAGCCGACGAUCUGUAGCUGGUCUGAGAGGACGGCCAGCCACACUGGGACUGAGACACGGCCCAGACUGCUACGGGAGGCAGCAGUGGGGAAUUUUGGACAAUGGGCGAAAGCCUGAUCCAGCCAUGCCGCGUGCAGGAUGAAGGCCUUCGGGUUGUAAACUGCUUUUGUACGGAACGAAAAGGUUUGGCCUAAUAAGCUGAGCUCAUGACGGUACCGUAAGAAUAAGCACCGGCUAACUACGUGCCAGCCGCCGCCGUAA